GUGCUCACUCUGGUAGCAUAAAUACUAAAAAUGCAAUAAUUCAGAGAAGGUUGGCAUGGUCCCUAUGCAAGGACAAACAGUUCAGCAAGUGUGUUGGUCUUUGAUGUA
Molecule: small nuclear RNA, 108 nt
Filed under: Microcebus murinus (gray mouse lemur)
Lineage: Eukaryota; Metazoa; Chordata; Mammalia; Primates; Cheirogaleidae
Source: RNAcentral